RNAcentral lists this long non-coding RNA (4611 nucleotides) under Sus scrofa (pig). RNAcentral's name for it is "lncRNA (ENSSSCG00005026727.1)". Lineage: Eukaryota; Metazoa; Chordata; Mammalia; Artiodactyla; Suidae. The record is from RNAcentral.
UAACUGCCCAACCUCAGGCAAGUUUCUUGGCCCUUCUUUGUUGUAAUACCCUAUAGAGGUGGCACAAGGAGCAAGUGAGAUAUUUAUACGGCAUUUGGCAUAGGGACUGUCAGAGAGCAGAGGCAGUAUACGAUAACAAUGAUGACUGCAGGUUAGCUCUUGGAGAGGAACUGGCUUCCUCCAAAGGAAUUAGGGUAUAAAUUCCUCUUGUCUCCGAACCCUAUUACCACCCCCAUAGGCCUCGCCCCAUCUCCACUAGCCCCUCAUCUCCCACUUUGGCUCUGGGCCUGACAUGCGCUCCUGUGUUUCCCUGCUGCGGUUCCACGCCUCCGCCCUUCCCUGGCGCACAGCUUGAGCCCCGUGUCCCUUCCGGUUUUGGCCCCGCCCCGCAGGCAGGGCUCCUCCUCCCCCGGUUGUUGAGCCGAGGCCCGGAGUGGUUAACACCCGAGCCUGGGUGUUAAGUAGAGGCCGAGGGGCGAGUGAGAGGGAGUGGGAAGCUGAGGGAGAGGUGCCCUUGAAGAGUUGGGGGCUUGGAGGUUUUCGAAAGCCGGGUGGCGAGGGGCGAAUACGCAAGGGGUCCCGCAGGAACGUGGGACGGGAGGAAGAGAUGCUCUGGGAUUUGGCCAGUGGGGGCCGAGGGAUGAGAGGAGCAGGAGCAGGACCAGGGUCGAUGUUGUCACCUGGCCAGGGAGAGGGAAAUGGCUUGGGACUGACGAGAUCGCGCACCGAAGGGGGUUCUGGUCAUUAGAGGAAGGAUUUAGGUUUGAAGAGGAAGGGGCUAUCGGGUGGCCUUAAAGACCAGAAAAAGAGAAAUGGGCUCAAGAAAGAAAAGGAGCCCUUGGGAGCCCUAAUUUAGGAUUUUGGCAUUUUCACAGGCGUCUUUUAAAGCAUGGGAAUCACUAGGGUAAUAUAAUUGGUUAAUGGGGUUUUCUCAUCUGUGGACAGUGAAUCCUUUUUUAAGAAUAUGAAGUGGGAGGGGUGGUGUUAAAAACACUGAUUUGCCCACAGGACUAGGGGAAGUAGUGAAAAGGAAGUGAAGUUUGGAAAAGAGUGAAAGAGAUUCUGAAAAUAAAGAUAAGCAUUUGGGUUUCUUGUAACAGUAAUAGUGUGAUUUUCUUUGUAUUUUAAAAAAAAUAUAUCUUAAAUACUAGACAAGUGUAGAUCUUUAAAAAAAGAAUGAAAAGGCUUAAAUUUGAAACAAGAAUUUGGACGUUUCGAUUUUACUGAUACUCAGUAUUGACUGGUUUCACUUUGGCAGCUUGAGUUGAGGCAUAUUUGCCACAGGGUAAAAAUAUAGUGAAUGCAAAUGUCUAGGUUGAAAAGGAACAUAAAACUAUGUGUGAAAUCACCACAGUUCAAGAGGCUACCAGAUCUUUCUCUCACCCAUAAUGAGUUAUCUCUUGAAAAGUGGAACGGUACUUUUGAAGGAUUUGCAGAACUAAAAUUAAUGUAAUUUUGAAGCGAUUUUAUGAGUAAUAUUUUAUAGUUAAUAAUAGAGUUAUCUAGAAAAAUAAAGGGGAUCUUGUAGUUGGCGGUUAACACAGCAGAUAGGUGGGUACACAGAUGCCUUUCAUAGAAGACGUAGCACCAAAGCCAUAAUUGUGCCAGAAAAAUAAUGAUGGCAGGAUUUAUAUUCUCUUUAGUAGAAAUAGAUUAAUUUCUUUUUGUAAUUGUUAAGUUAUAACGUGGCUUCCUGAAAUGGUGGUUAAGAGUUUAGCCACAUCUCAUUUGUUUUACUUUUACAACUUUUUAUCCAGUUACAGGUUUGCAAAGUUGUUUGCUAUUUCAAAACAAUCUUUUAAUCAAAUAUUCCUACUCUAAAUGGGUAUCUACCGUUUAAUCUUCAGGAGAUGAUAAUUUACUGAUUGCAGCAAGCUGUUAAAUUAAUUUAUGUAUAUAGAUUUUGUUAUCUUCAAAUGCUUAUGGGCUAAUAAUUAUUUCUUCAAAGAGAAGAUGAAUUCUUUGCUUUGCUUUUAGCUGUUAAAAGAUUAACUCUCUUUUCUUUAAAUUUAUACAAUUUUUAGUUGAAGUAUACAUAGUAUUACUAUUAUUUGUUUUUAUUUGUUUGCCCUCACCAGGCUGAAAUUCUCUAGAGACCUAUCUUCAUACUUAGCUCUAAAUAAGUCUUGGCGUGUAAAAAUUGCUGAACUGAACUGAAAUGUAAGAACUCUCUAUUAAGGUUACAUCUUAAUGUUACUGCAAAAUUAAAGAAACUGUUAGAUGAAGUUGUGUAAAUAAUAUGUUAUUAUGCAUAAUAGUUAUUUUGUCUUUGUUUUGCUUUGACAGUUUUUACUGCCACUUAGUUAUAAAGAAAGUAAGUUUUAUGAUAGAGCAGUUUCUCUAAGGCAAGAAAAUCUACAUUAUUACAGAAGAAGGCAUCAUUAUAGUGAUGGCAGAACAUGCAGGCAUAUUUAGGUAAAUCAGUUUUGAUUGCAGUAGCAUCCUCUCCAUUCUGCAAAGAUUUCGCAUCACAUAAGUUUUGUAAAUAUUUUUAUUUUGUUAAUUACUAGAUCUUCAACAGUUUUUCAACACUUUACAACAUAGGUGAUUUAAAGACAUUUUCAUGUUUUUUUCUCAGAAUUGAAAUUUGAACAUUGUUUUUGAGAAACUAUUGAAUCACAGAUGUUCUAAUGAAUAUUAUUAUUUUAUCUUAUAAGAAUGACCAUAUUAACUAGCUCUUCUUUCAAAAUUCUUACCUCCAGGCCUGAUGUGAUAUUAGGAUGUUAAUCAUGACAGUGAUUCUUUAGGUCUUAUUGUUCUCUUGACUUUGAGAAAUCAAGAGGUUAACUAAAUAUAGAAGAGCAUGGGCCAGGCACUCUGGGAAAGCAUUUCAGUGUUUACAUGCUGCCUUUGUCACUGUCUGGUAAUUUGCCAUUUGAAUAUUGGAACGUGGAUUUGUAGCAGACCUGCGCCCUCUCCUCUUAUACACAUAGCACCAUCAUCACUGGACCUUUAAGCCUAACCCUCUUGAGUCUUGACUUCAUGCUUCCAUAUCGGAAGUGUUUUAUUACUUCACUGCACACUGGGCCUUACUAGUAAUACAGUCACUUCACCGCAGAUUGUAACAUAAUGUGAGUAUAUCUUGGCUUUUGCUUAUGGUGGUAAAAGCUAGGAAAACUUGGUUAUAAUAUUUCAGCACCAUGUUUCAGAACAAAAUAAUGUUUUCUGAUGUGUACCUUGAAAGAAUGUUGUGGAGGCCGAGACUUAUAUUUGUCUUGAUUUUUUUUUUUUUCUUCUUUUUUAUUGGCUGCACCCUCUGCAUAUGGAACUUUCUGGGCCAGGGAUCAAAUCUAAGGCACAAUUGCAUUCUAGGCCACAGCUGGACAGCACUGGAUCCUAACCCCCUGCACAACAACAGGAACUCCUGUCUUGAAUUUGUAUUGUGCAUUUAGAUUAGCUUUUGAAUUGUGACAAAGGACAAAAAGAGGUGGUGAUGUAUCUGUUAUCUUGACCUCAUUUCUGUUCUUUGAAAAUUCUUGACGGGUGUUUUAGUAGGAGGAGAGGACCAUGAAUUCUGCUAAUUUAGGGUCAUCCUGUAAGUUAAACUGUAUAUUAAAAUAUCUCACUGAGAUAUUGGAAAUGCCUGCAAAUUGGUUUUGGUUUGGCACUCUGAAACUAAAGUAAAUCUAGAUCAGCUUUAUCAAUAUAAUAUUGGCAUGAAAGUCAGAGAUUGCCAUAACCAUACAUUAAAGUUUGGCGCCAGGAGUUCUCCUGUGGCACAGUGGGUUAAGGAUCUGAUAUUGUCCCUGCCGUGGCUUGGGUUGCUGCUGUGGUACAGGUUUGAUCCCUAGCUUGAGAACUUCCACAUGCUGAGAGCGUGGCCAAGAAAAAAAAAAAAAAAAAAGCCUUCAAAUUCAUAAUAUGUCUACAAUGUUCUAGUGGAGUUGAAGUCUUGAGCCAGUUUCUCAUUUUCUAUUAUGUUGAUUUGAUUUGGGGAUAUAUGUAGCAUAUUUAAAAAUAAAAAUAAAUAUUUUUACCAGUCAACCUAUCAAACCUCUGCUAACCUGUCCAAAUGUUAUUUUAGUGACUAGAAUAAGAAUUCAAAUAUUGUAUACUUGGCUUCUUUACUAAUGUGUUCUGGCUUGCAGCCAGAUUAAGGAUGCUUCAUCAAACUUACCUCUGUAUUUUGACCAUUGUGUAGAAACAUUUACUGUAACUGAGUGAGGAUAUAAACUGUCUAUUAGAUUCUUUAUAAACUGUCUAUUAGAUUCUUUUUUUUUUUUUUGACUGCACCCAAAUCGUAUGGAAGUUCCUGGGCCAGGUAUUGAAUCCAAGCUGCAACUGUGUCCUAUGCCACUGCUGCAGCAACACUGGAUUCUUAACCACUGGGCUGGAAUCAAAUCUUCACAGCCACAGAAUCAAUGCCAAAUCCUUAACCUGCUGCAUCACAGCUUAAGUUCUGCACAAGAACUCCCUAUAUUCUUAUUCAUUGAACUGAGGCAGUUCUGAAUGUCAUUUAAGGGUUAGAUACAAGCUGAUAGUGGAAGUUUUAGUUUAAAGGCAAGUUGGAACCAGAAAAUGUUUGUGUUCUUUGGUUUAUAUGACACAUUUUUUUUAAAUAAAAGUGUAAGUGCAUGGUCUGCACAGCAAAAAAAAAAAAAAAAAAAAAAA